This 356-nucleotide ribosomal RNA is filed under the name uncultured fungus. Its description in RNAcentral is "eukaryotic LSU rRNA". It matches the Rfam family "Eukaryotic large subunit ribosomal RNA", at positions 40 to 398 of the family's 3401-position model. The record is from RNAcentral. Lineage: Eukaryota; Fungi.
AUAUCAAUAAGCGGAGGAAAAGAAACCAACAGGGAUUGCCCCAGUAACGGCGAGUGAAGCGGCAACAGCUCAAAUUUGAAAUCUGGCCCCUAGGGUCCGAGUUGUAAUUUGCAGAGGAUGCUUUUGACAAGGUGCCUUCCGAGUUCCCUGGAACGGGACGCCAUAGAGGGUGAGAGCCCCGUCUGGUCGGAUACCGCGUCUCUGUAAAGCUCCUUCGACGAGUCGAGUAGUUUGGGAAUGCUGCUCAAAAUGGGAGGUAUAUGUCUUCUAAAGCUAAAUAUUGGCCAGAGACCGAUAGCGCACAAGUAGAGUGAUCGAAAGAUGAAAAGCACUUUGAAAAGAGGGUUAAAAAGUAC